GAAGAAUAAUUGCUCGAUCGACGAAGAUGUCAACGGAAAAAUAGGUUAUGGAACGUAUAACAAAUUAUCGCCAGGAUCCAGUGCCGCCUCUCGAUAGGCGGAAUCGGCAGACGGGCGACCAAGUGCCGAAAAAGUGGAUCAGCCACAUAUUACCCGCUCGUAUAUUAUGUUUAAUGGCGAGCCCUUCUCCUACGUUCUGACCAAUUUUACGCGAUACUCGAUACUCGUAAUCGCCGCGGUUAUACGUGCGGACCUAUCGUGCGGAGAAAUUGCAUCGAAGGACAGGAGCCUGAGGGGCUGCGUGUCGUGGCGUCAAACGUUCGAUAAUUUUAUGAAAAUGUUUG
Molecule: long non-coding RNA, 344 nt
Organism: Apis florea (little honeybee)
Lineage: Eukaryota; Metazoa; Arthropoda; Insecta; Hymenoptera; Apidae
Source: RefSeq, a predicted model, not a curated record